UGGGGAAUUUUGGACAAUGGGCGAAAGCCUGAUCCAGCAAUGCCGCGUGUGUGAAGAAGGCCUUCGGGUUGUAAAGCAACUUUUGUCCGGAAAGAAAUCCUUGGCUCUAAUACAGUCGGGGGAUGACGGUACCGGAAGAAUAAGCACCGGCUAACUACGUGCCAGCAGCCGCGGUAAUACGUAGGGUGCAAGCGUUAAUCGGAAUUACUGGGCGUAAAGCGUGCGCAGGCGGUUUGCUAAGACCGAUGUGAAAUCCCCGGGCUCAACCUGGGAACUGCAUUGGGUGACUGGCAGGCUAGAGUAUGGCAGAGGGGGGUAGAAUUCCACGUGUAGCAGUGAAAUGCGUAGAGAUGUGGAGGAAUACCGAUGGCGAAAGGCAGCCCCCUGGGGCCAAAUACUGACGCUCAUGCACGAAAGCGUGGGGAGCAAACAGGAUUAGAUACCCUGGUAGUCCACGCCCUAAAGCGAUGUCAACUAGUUGUUGGGGACUUCAUUUUCCUUAGUAACGUAGCUAACGCGUGAAGUUGACCGCCUGGGGAGUACGGUCGCAAGAUUAAAACUCAAAUGAAUUGACGGGG
Molecule: ribosomal RNA, 578 nt
Filed under: uncultured bacterium
Lineage: Bacteria
Description: partial 16S ribosomal RNA
Rfam family: Bacterial small subunit ribosomal RNA
Source: RNAcentral